RNAcentral lists this ribosomal RNA (162 nucleotides) under Pyrostria sp. Pettersson & Nilsson 752. Its description in RNAcentral is "5.8S ribosomal RNA". It matches the Rfam family "5.8S ribosomal RNA". From Rfam's summary of the family: 5.8S ribosomal RNA (5.8S rRNA) is a component of the large subunit of the eukaryotic ribosome. It is transcribed by RNA polymerase I as part of the 45S precursor that also contains 18S and 28S rRNA. Lineage: Eukaryota; Viridiplantae; Streptophyta; Magnoliopsida; Gentianales; Rubiaceae. The record is from RNAcentral. RNAcentral also lists the same sequence under 1 other name.
AACGACUCUCGGCAACGGAUAUCUCGGCUCUCGCAUCGAUGAAGAACGUAGCGAAAUGCGAUACUUGGUGUGAAUUGCAGAAUCCCGCGAACCAUCGAGUCUUUGAACGCAAGUUGCGCCCGAAGCCAUUUGGCCGAGGGCACGUCUGCCUGGGCGUCACGC